RNAcentral lists this ribosomal RNA (374 nucleotides) under uncultured organism. RNAcentral's name for it is "partial 16S ribosomal RNA". It matches the Rfam family "Bacterial small subunit ribosomal RNA", at positions 527 to 896 of the family's 1533-position model. The record is from RNAcentral.
GUAGGUGGCAAGCGUUGUCCGGAAUUAUUGGGCGUAAAGCGCGCGCAGGUGGGUUCUUUAAGUCUGAUGUGAAAGCCCCCGGGCUCAACCGGGGAGGGUCAUUGGAAACUGGGGAACUUGAGUGCAGGAGAGGAAAGUGGAAUUCCACGUGUAGCGGUGAAAUGCGUAGAUAUGUGGAGGAACACCAGUGGCGAAGGCGACUUUCUGGCCUGUAACUGACACUGAGGCGCGAAAGCGUGGGGAGCAAACAGGAUUAGAUACCCUGGUAGUCCACGCCGUAAACGAUGAGUGCUAAGUGUUGGGGGGUUUCCGCCCCUCAGUGCUGCAGCUAACGCAUUAAGCACUCCGCCUGGGGAGUACGGCCCCAAAGACUG